The sequence is a transfer RNA, 72 nucleotides long. It matches the Rfam family "tRNA". Rfam says of the family: Transfer RNA (tRNA) molecules are approximately 80 nucleotides in length. Their secondary structure includes four short double-helical elements and three loops (D, anti-codon, and T loops). The record is from Rfam.
GCCACUGUAGCUCAGGGGUAGAGCGUCAGUCUUGUAAACUGAAGGUCCUGAGUUCGAUUCUCAGUCGUGGCA